CUUCAUAACAUCAACUAACUACCUCGUGCAACAAGAUGGCGCCGGGAAACCGUGGGAGACCCUCAUGGCCCCGGUGACAUCACCUAUAGUAGGCAGAGCAUUAGAACAACCACUUAACACCUAACCAAUUAUUGAUGUAUUAUUCCAUGUUAUCUCUGACAAUGCUUAUGAUGUAAUUUUGCUUUUAAAGGGACCUGCCGUCCCCUCUGAAUAAACAUUCCUCAAGUUAUUCAACAACCUGGAACCUGUGUCUGGUGUGAAUUACUUCAGGGAGCGUGCAC
Non-coding RNA from Pelobates cultripes (western spadefoot toad), 281 nucleotides. The record is from the annotation of a GenBank genome assembly. NCBI's taxonomy places the organism in Eukaryota, Metazoa, Chordata, Amphibia, Anura, Pelobatidae.